GGAUUACGGAUCGGAUUUUUGCUUGAUCCGAUCCGAUCCGAAAAUCCGAAGUUUGAAGAAAAUAAAAUCCAAUCCGAACCAUAUAAUCCGUUGAUCCGAAUCCGAAAAUCCGAAGUUUUCGGAUAAAAUCCGAUCCAAACCGAAAAAAUCCGAAAUAUAAGCAAAAUCCGAAAAUCCAAUUGAGGCUGAUGCACCUACCCAAUCCUCAAAUUCGAACACAAUUCAUAAGGCUGCACCAAUUCAUUCGAACAAAAUUGAAACAACUGCACCAAUUCAUAAGGCUGAAAAAUUCGAACACAAUUAUAACUCAUAAAUCAUAAUUAAGCAUCAAUUUUCAACAUUCUUGAGGUUCACUAAAAACUAAAAUCGAACCUACUGCAGCCUGAAGGAAUGACGCGCCGAUGAGGUGCUCUGGGGAGGGCGUCUGAAACUCUGAGGUCAGAGGUGGAGGGCGUCGGCCGUCGGGAAGAGAGGCGCAGAUCUGCGGCGCUCUGCGCUCGAGCUUCGAGCUGCUCUGGGGGAUUGCAAGCGCGGAGGUGGCGUGGUGGGCGAUUGCAGGCGCAGAGUAGGUGGGGUGGCGGCCGGCGGCCGGCGGGAUGGGACGGCGCGGACCGCGCGGUGGAGACUGGAGAGGGAUGGGAGUCAGACAAGGCGCGGUGGUGGAGCUGUGGCUGUGCGGCGCUGAUUUAGUUUAGGGAAUUAGGUUUUAGGUUUUACUUUUUAACAUAUUCAAUAAUUCAAAAUUAU
This 747-nucleotide long non-coding RNA is filed under the name Salvia miltiorrhiza (redroot sage). RNAcentral describes it as "long non-coding RNA (SMIL_LNC005811)". The record is from RNAcentral. Lineage: Eukaryota; Viridiplantae; Streptophyta; Magnoliopsida; Lamiales; Lamiaceae.